Molecule: ribosomal RNA, 484 nt
Filed under: uncultured bacterium
Lineage: Bacteria
Description: partial 16S ribosomal RNA
Rfam family: Bacterial small subunit ribosomal RNA
Source: RNAcentral
GAUGAACGCUGGCGGCGUGCUUAACACAUGCAAGUCGAACGAUGAACCCGGGGCUUGCUCCGGUGGAUUAGUGGCGAACGGGUGAGUAACACGUGAGUAACCUGCCCUUGACUCUGGGAUAACUGCGGGAAACUGUAGCUAAUACCGGAUACGACCCUCGGCGGCAUCGCCAGGGGGUGGAAAGAAUUUCGGUCAAGGAUGGACUCGCGGCCUGUCAGCUAGUUGGUGUGGUAACGGCUCACCAAGGCUACGACGGGUAGGCGGACGGAGAGGGUGACCGGCCACACUGGGACUGAGACACGGCCCAGACUCCUACGGGGGGCAGCAGUGGUGAAUAUUGCACAAUGGGCGCAAGCCUGAUGCAGCAACGCCGCGUGAGGGAUGACGGCCUUCGGGUUGUAAACCUCUUUUAGUAGGGAAGAAGCGAAAGUGACGGUACCUGCAGCACAAGCACCGGCUAACUACGUGCCAGCAGCCGCAGUAA